This 131-nucleotide small RNA is filed under the name Salmonella enterica subsp. enterica serovar Tennessee. RNAcentral describes it as "RtT RNA". It matches the Rfam family "RtT RNA". From Rfam's summary of the family: This family represents a bacterial cis-regulatory element known as RtT RNA. The exact function of RtT is unknown although it is thought that it may be involved in changing the cellular response in relation to amino acid starvation. The record is from RNAcentral. Lineage: Bacteria; Pseudomonadati; Pseudomonadota; Gammaproteobacteria; Enterobacterales; Enterobacteriaceae.
UAUCGUCUCCGUACGGGAAGGAUGAGAAGCUUCGACUAAGGUUCGAUUCGAACGCAGCGAGAAAGCGUUGCCGCAGGCAACGACCCGAAGGGCGAAGCGCGCAGCGCUGAGUCAUCCUUCCCCCACCACCA